GUUCUGGAGAUUUCUCCACCCAGAUUUCUCAACUGGCUGUGAUGUAGUUGUUGUUUUUGAAAGAAAGAAAGAUAAUAAGUAAUAAUAAAUUAUAAUAUAUAGGACGGUAGUUUGUCAGACCAGUGUGAAUGAAAUUCUGUCUGUAUAUAGGUGUGUGUGUGACUGUAAUAUCUGAUCUAGGAACCACUGUACAUACUGUGUGUGUGUGUGUGUGUGUGUGUGUGUGUGUGUGUGAGAGAGAGAGAGAGAGAUAGACAGACAGAGAGAGAGAGAUUUUAAUAAUUAUACCACACAGACACACACACACACACACACACACUUAUGCACACACACAUAUGCAGACGUGUGUGUUAUUGUAAUAUCUGAUCUGGGAUCUGUUGUGUAUAUGAGUGUGUAUGCAUGGUAGGCAUGUGUGUGUGUGUGUGUGCGUGUGUGUGUGUGAGAGAGAGAGAGAGAGAGAGAGUGUGUGAUCUAGAAUCUGCUGUGUGUAUAUACAGUAGGUGUUGUGUGUGUGUGUGGGGGGGGUAUAGUUGUAUUGUGUAUGUUGGCAUGUAAAAAGCAGCUGUUUAAAGAAUGAGUGUGUGUGUGUAACUGUAAUAAUCGAUCAGGGAUCUGUUGUGUGUAUAUAGUUGUACAGUGUAUAUAGGGCUAUUACUGUAAUAACUGAUUUAGGAUCUGCUGUGUGUGUAUAUACUUGUGCAGUGUAUAUAGGGUUGUUAUUGUAAUAACGGAUCUGGGAUGUAAUUUUUGUGUAUAGUCAUGCAGUGUAUAUAGGGUUGCUAUUAUAAUAACUGAUCUGGGAUCUGCUGUAUGUAUAUGGUUGUGUAGUGUGUAUAGGGUUAUUAUUGUAAUAACAGAUCCGGGGUCUACUGUGUGUAUAGUUCUGCAGUGUAUAUAGGGUUGCUAUUAUAACAACUGAUCUGGGAUCUACUGUGUGUGUAUAAUCAUGCAGUGUGUAUAGGGUUGUUAUUGUAAUAACAGAUCUGGGAUCUGCUGUGUGUGUAUAUAGUUGUGCAGUGCAUAUAGGGUUGUUGUUGUAAUAACUGAUCUGGGAUCUGCUGUGUGUGUAUAUAGUUGUGCAGUGUAUAUAGGGUUGUUGUAAUAACUGAUCUGGGAUCUGCGGUGUGUGUAUAGUUGUGCAGUGUAUAUUGGGUUGUUGUAAAAACUGAUCUGGGAUCUGCUGUGUGUGUAUAUAUAGUUGUGCAGUGUAUAUAGGGUUGUUAUUGUAAUAACUGAUCUGGGAUCUGCUGUGUGUGUAUAUAGUUGUGCAGUGUAUAUAGGGUUGUUGUAAUAACUGAUCUGGGAUCUGCGGUGUGUGUAUAGUUGUGCAGUGUAUAUUGGGUUGUUGUAAAAACUGAUCUGGGAUCUGCUGUGUGUGUAUAUAUAGUUGUGCAGUGUAUAUAGGGUUGUUAUUGUAAUAACUGAUCUGGGAUCUGCUGUGUGUGUAUAUAGUUGUGCAGUGUAUAUAGGGUUGUUAUUGUAAUAACUGAUCUGGGAUCUGCUGUGUGUGUAUAUAGUUGUGCAGUGUAUAUAGGGUUGUUAUUGUAAUAACUGAUCUGGGAUCUGCUGUGUGUGUAUAUAGUUGUGCAGUGUAUAUAGGGUUGUUAUUGUAAUAACUGAUCUGGGAUCUGCUGUGUGUGUAAAUAGUUGUGCAGUGUAAAUAGGGUUGUUAUUAUAAUAAAUAUAUGUAAUAUGUAAUAAAUAUCAAGGCAGAACUGCAGGUCAUGUGACUAUGAGUGGGACUGGAUUUAAAGCCAGGUUCAAACUGUGCAAUUUUGGCCACGAUUUGUUCGUCUGAGAAAAAUUUUGCGAAUCCUAAACGAUUCCUAUAAUCCUAGGCCAAAAUCUGUUGUCUUUGAGCGCUAGUUUGACAUGUUUCCUGGCAGCCGAUUAAAUUCUGGAAGUGUCAGAAGAUUUCAGGAACAGUCCUGUAGUGUGGCUUCACCUACUCCAUACGAGUCUUCUUGCGUACGUCAGUUUUUCACGUCUUGACUGUCAUACAGUCCGACAUUAAUGACGACUGAGAUCCUACAGUGUGACCCGGCUUACAGCGGGGAUCAUGUUCGUGCAGUCUGACAAGCAACAGUCGCAAAGGACUAUUAAUAAUCGUACAGUGUGCACCCGGCUUUAAUGAUAAAUAUCCCAUGAAUAACAAAUAAUCAUAAAUAUGAAUGAUGUCGGAUAAGCCAUGUUGAAUAAGGAUUUCUUUUUAAAUAUACAUUUUUUUAAAUCUGAAAAUGUUGCCUGCUCACCAGAGGUGGGCUGUUCACCCUAAGCUACUGUAUCACCAUCAUUAAACAAGAAUAACAAACACUUCUCAGUUGCCACCACACCCAGCAUGGCUUCACACCAGUAUGAAGAAACACAAAGGCUACAUGCUAGCAUGUCUUAAAGUCUUGUCUGUAUGAAGGAAACAUACGGUAUCUCACAAAAGUGAGUACACCCCUC
This is a long non-coding RNA of Ictalurus punctatus (channel catfish), 2448 nucleotides long. The record is from Ensembl. Lineage: Eukaryota; Metazoa; Chordata; Actinopteri; Siluriformes; Ictaluridae.